CUCAAAGAUUUAAGCCAUGCAUGUCUAAGUAUAAGCAAUUAUACCGCGAAACUGCGAAUGGCUCAUUAUAUAAGUUAUCGUUUAUUUGAUAGUACCUUACUACUUGGAUAACCGUGGUAAUUCUAGAGCUAAUACAUGCUAAAAAUCCCGACUUCGGAAGGGAUGUAUUUAUUAGAUUAAAAACCAAUGCCCUUCGGGGCUCACUGGUGAUUCAUGAUAACUCCUCGAAUCGCAUGGCCUUGUGCCGGCGAUGGUUCAUUCAAAUUUCUUCCCUAUCAACUUUCGAUGUUUGGGUAUUGGCCAAACAUGGUUGCAACGGGUAACGGAGGGUUAGGGCUCGACCCCGGAGAAGGAGCCUGAGAAACGGCUACUACAUCCAAGGAAGGCAGCAGGCGCGCAAAUUACCCAAUCCCGACACGGGGAGGUAGUGACAAUAAAUACUGAUACAGGGCUCUUUUGGGUCUUGUAAUUGGAAUGAGUACAAUUUAAAUCCCUUAACGAGGAACAAUUGGAGGGCAAGUCUGGUGCCAGCAGCCGCGGUAAUUCCAGCUCCAAUAGCGUAUAUUAAAGUUGUUGUGGUUAAAAAGCUCGUAGUUGAACCUUGGGCCUGGCUGGCCGGUCCGCCUCACCGCGUGUACUGGUCCGGCCGGGCCUUUCCCUCUGUGGAACCCCAUGCCCUUCACUGGGUGUGGCGGGGAAACAGGACUUUUACUGUGAAAAAAUUAGAGUGCUCCAGGCAGGCCUAUGCUCGAAUACAUUAGCAUGGAAUAAUAGAAUAGGACGUGUGGUUCUAUUUUGUUGGUUUCUAGGACCGCCGUAAUGAUUAAUAGGGACAGUCGGGG
This 842-nucleotide ribosomal RNA is filed under the name Fusarium oxysporum. Its description in RNAcentral is "SSU rRNA". It matches the Rfam family "Eukaryotic small subunit ribosomal RNA", at positions 36 to 887 of the family's 1831-position model. Lineage: Eukaryota; Fungi; Ascomycota; Sordariomycetes; Hypocreales; Nectriaceae. The record is from RNAcentral.